Molecule: ribosomal RNA, 486 nt
Filed under: uncultured bacterium
Lineage: Bacteria
Description: partial 16S ribosomal RNA
Rfam family: Bacterial small subunit ribosomal RNA
Source: RNAcentral
AUUGAACGCUGGCGGCAUGCCUUACACAUGCAAGUCGAACGGCAGCACGGGUGCUUGCACCUGGUGGCGAGUGGCGAACGGGUGAGUAAUACAUCGGAACAUGUCCUGUAGUGGGGGAUAGCCCGGCGAAAGCCGGAUUAAUACCGCAUACGAUCUACGGAUGAAAGCGGGGGACCUUCGGGCCUCGCGCUAUAGGGUUGGCCGAUGGCUGAUUAGCUAGUUGGUGGGGUAAAGGCCUACCAAGGCGACGAUCAGUAGAUGGUCUGAGAGGACGACCAGCCACACUGGGACUGAGACACGGCCCAGACUCCUACGGGAGGCAGCAGUGGGGAAUUUUGGACAAUGGGCGAAAGCCUGAUCCAGCAAUGCCGCGUGUGUGAAGAAGGCCUUCGGGUUGUAAAGCACUUUUGUCCGGAAAGAAAUCCUUGGCUCUAAUACAGUCGGGGGAUGACGGUACCGAAAGAAUAAGCACCGGCUAACUACGUG